Molecule: unclassified non-coding RNA, 256 nt
Filed under: Glomus sp.
Lineage: Eukaryota; Fungi; Glomeromycota; Glomeromycetes; Glomerales; Glomeraceae
Description: partial contains 5.8S ribosomal RNA and internal transcribed spacer 2
Rfam family: 5.8S ribosomal RNA (bases 1-65)
Source: RNAcentral
GUGAAUCAUCAAAUUUUUGAACGCAAAUUGCACUCUCUUCGGAUAGUAUGCCUGUUUGAGGGUCAGCCUAAAAAAAAUCGACGUAGUCGCUGUUUCGCGGUGACUUUCUUCGGUAAUUGCGUCAUCUUCAAUCUUUGGGUCUUUUAAGCGGCUUAACAUUUUCUUUACGUUUCCACGAUCGUUUCUAAGAUUUAUUUAUACGUUUAAGGUAUCGAUCUUUAUUAGAUGUGGCCGUUGCAUUGGAUUGGGUCUAUAC